GGGGUUGUAGCUCAGUGGUAGAGAGAGCAUUUGGCCUCGCACGCGUUGAAGUCCUGGGUUCAAUCCUCAGCACCACA
RNAcentral lists this transfer RNA (77 nucleotides) under Marmota monax (woodchuck). RNAcentral describes it as "tRNA.Ala". The record is from RNAcentral. Lineage: Eukaryota; Metazoa; Chordata; Mammalia; Rodentia; Sciuridae.